Molecule: long non-coding RNA, 2594 nt
Organism: Astatotilapia calliptera (eastern happy)
Lineage: Eukaryota; Metazoa; Chordata; Actinopteri; Cichliformes; Cichlidae
Source: Ensembl
AAAUACUGAAAUAUGUCCCAUCUUAUAACUUCAUUAUUUUGUGUGUUUUUAAUUUCGUGCAGAGUUUUGGCCAUGUUGGUCCUCCAUAUUUAACCUCUUUCAACCUGGUCACAGUAAUUUAAGUGUUGAAACAUGAAUAUUAAUCGAUUAUUGAUUAACCUUUUUUUCACAUUUUUAAAUGUUUAUUAUUGAUCAAGUUAGUAAUUAUUGUUCCCAUUAAGUUAUUGAUUAUUUGAUCAGUGAAAAAAAGAAAAAAAUAUGUUUAGACCAAAUAGCGGUUCCAGAUUGAUUUUCUAAUUGAUCUUUUGAUUGAUUAUUCGGCCUCUUCAUGUUGGAAAGUUUCUGCGAGGAUUUCUGUGGAAAUAAUUAACAGAAGGAAAACAAAAAUCAGGAAAUAGAAUAAUUUUCCAUUUUUCUCCACCAGUCAGAGCUUGUCAGUCCCACCUGUAAACACAAGUAAACAGAGCCUUCUGAUUGGCCGACAGACAGCCUGUGACAGUGAACGCUGGUGAGGCGGAGAGUCGAGGUGUCCUCGUGGACGUUCAGAAUCAAAACAAGCUCCUCAGACUUUGUACCUGCAUGUAGUAAAUACUCAGUUUUCUUAAACUGUGAUUGGCUCAGAGCUGUAAAGGUGCAGGACCUGUUAUUUCUGUAGCAAGGAGACGGAAAGGCACACUUUCAAAGCUCAAUUCAUCAAAUAACCUCAGUCUGCACCAAUGAACCAGCUUCAGGCUGUGUGAAGACCUUCCAACCAAACUCAAUUUAAAUAUCCUACGUUUUUAUUACCAGUAUCAUGGUCUCCUAAAUUCAGCACAGACACUGAGACCUGGUAAAAAAAAUAUGUUUAUAUCUUUAUUUUAUUUUACCAGGAAGUCUCACUGACACCAUAUCUCUAGCUUCGAGCCCUUACUCAGGAAGGAACCUUUAACUACAAUUCAGCCAAACUCAAUUCAAAAAUCUAAAUACAUCCUGCUGGUGUUAGUAAUUAGUCCCGAUAAAUUCAGCACCAUCUUUGUUGUUGUCGUCAUCAUAAUCAUCAGGGUUUUUCCUGCUUACAAAAAGUUCUUGUUUUACCCCCAAUGUAAAAGAAAAAUCCCCAGAAAUGUGGUGCAAGUGGGUGUGAUUUGGAUUAAAUGGUCUUAGUCUCAAAUAUGUCUCCAAACAAAACAAAACCCGCUGAACCACCACAUUUCACAAACAUGUUUAACAAACCCUGACCAAGCCUCAUUAAAAAGCUUUUGUUUUUAGGAUUCAUAUUCACCCACCAGUGUUGAUGGUUAAUGCUGAGUCUCUGGAGCACAUUUAACCAAACUUCAUUCAAAAAUUGCAUGUUUUUUGGGGGGGCCUGUGGAAUCUUGUGGUUGCCUCAUUAAUCCAACAGACAUGCAAGCACUUAAUUUAAUGAAAAAAAAACAUUUAGUCAUGGAUUCAACCUGUUUGUUACCGUAGAAAUGAAGGUUACACAAGUGACCAUGUUAUGUUUUUGUCAAGUUGUCCCUGAUCGGGUACAGGGCGUCGAUGCUGCAUGCUCACGCUCUGUCACCUUUCUUUAAAAUCAUUUUCAAACAUCCAAUCACAGCUCAGCAUCGGCCAAGAAGAAGGGGCAGAGCUGAUUGGUCAUGUAGCUGCUCAGGUAAACAGGGUGUGUCCUGUGAUGUGUGUAUAAGGAGGGCCAAUCAGGGUGUUUGUUUGUGCUUCAGCCUUGAUAUCUGACCAGUUCCAUGAUGAAGAUGACAAAGAGCAGCUGAAUUAAGCAUGGAUGCACCAAGCAGGCAGGGCGUGUGCACGUUCUUGUACAUAUCGCAGCCCCUGUGAUCUGAUGAAGUAUAUAAUUAAUCGUGUCUGUAUUUCUGGUAUGUUUCUGAAGCAUGUAAACGAUGAACUGAUCAGCUCCUACCAGGAGAUCAAUAAAUUUUAUAUGGUGCCUCAUCAAUAAUGUCUCACUGCUGCUUAUACUUCAUGCUGUUAUUGAUUCACACCCACAGGACAAAACUAUGGAAGCCCAGGUAUGUGUGUAAUAAAUGGUUGGGGUUUUUUUUAUCAUUUAUUGAAAGGAAAAAGCUGAAUAUCUUCAUUAAUAAUCAGAUAUUUUUUUUAAUAAAAACAUAAUACAAAGAAACAAAUGAUGCUAAUAAAAUCUCUCUGUUAAAUUUUGUUUCUCUGGUUAGUUUAUGAAGGCCCAUUCUUUAUAGAAGCCUGAGUGUGCCAGGAAACCUGAAACGUGUUUAUAGACUGGUCAUAUUUGUUGUUUAAGUUCUUCUAGCAAGAACUGCUGCAAGUUAUUCCAUUCAUUUUCUAGAUUUGUAGAAAUAACAAAUGUUCAUGAUUAAACUUCCUGGUGCUUUAAAUUAAAGAUGUAAAAAUUUAGAUUCUUUUCCCCACAUUUUUAAAUGUGCAAAUGAGAACAUUGUGCAGUAGUCAGCUUUAUGAAUUUGUCUCAGUGUACUGUUUUUCAUUUGGUGGCUAUGUAUAAAUUAUUUUUCUCACAAAUAAACAUAUGAAUCACAUAUUAUCAAUAACAAUGUCAAAAACAGAUUCAGUUAACUGUAAAUUGGUCUUUGAAAAUAAAAUCUUGUAAUAAAGGACAAUGUGAC